UACGUAGGGUGCGAGCGUUAAUCGGAAUUACUGGACGUAAAGCGUGCGCAGGCGGUUUUGUAAGCCAGAUGUGAAAUCCCCCGGGCUUAACCUGGGAACUGCGUUUGAAACUGGAAGGCUUGAGUGUGGCAGAGGGGGGUGGAAUUCCACGUGUAGCAGUGAAAUGCGUAGAGAUGCGGAGGAACACCGAUGGCGAAGGCAGCCCCCUGGGUCGACACUGACGCUCAGGCACGAAAGCGUGGGGAGCAAACAGG
Molecule: ribosomal RNA, 254 nt
Filed under: uncultured bacterium
Lineage: Bacteria
Description: partial 16S ribosomal RNA
Rfam family: Bacterial small subunit ribosomal RNA
Source: RNAcentral